Molecule: unclassified non-coding RNA, 267 nt
Filed under: plant metagenome
Description: partial contains small subunit ribosomal RNA, internal transcribed spacer 1, and 5.8S ribosomal RNA
Source: RNAcentral
UUUCCGUAGGUGAACCUGCGGAAGGAUCAUUAUCGUUCAAAAUGUGAGGGGCAUGCGAGGGCUGUCGCUGACCCAAGAGUCGUGCACGCCCGAGUGUGUCCUCUUGCAUAAUAAUCCAUCUCACCCUUUGUGCAUCACCGCGUGGGCACCCUUCGGGAUCAUCUCGGAGGGGGGCUCGCGUUUUCACACAAACCCCCCUUUUAAAAGUGUAGAAUGACCACAUUUAUGCAAUCAAUACAACUUUCAACAACGGAUCUCUUGGCUCUC